AUGCUUUGCUAAUUAUUUUCUGGGUCGCACUUUGUUGUGACACUGUUACGAGUGAAGCUAAAAGAAAAUGUUCCCCUCGCUAUCCUUUGCGCCUAAUAUUUGUGGUGUAUUUGGACGUUGGGGUACUACAUUA
Molecule: small nucleolar RNA, 133 nt
Organism: Lycium barbarum (goji berry)
Lineage: Eukaryota; Viridiplantae; Streptophyta; Magnoliopsida; Solanales; Solanaceae
Product: small nucleolar RNA snoR136
Exons: 1
Source: RefSeq, a predicted model, not a curated record